UAUCUGAUUUGAUAAUAUGGAUGGUAUGUCAGUGUAGGAGGGGCCGUCAUGUAAUCCAGUUCAAAACAGAUAACAUGGGUCAUCUACUUUGAUAAUAUAUGGCAGUGUAGAAGGAGCCUCAGAUGCCUGUGGGGCCCUUUCUACACUGUCAUAUAAAAUCCAGAUGAUCUGAUUUGAACUGGAUUACAUGGCAGUUAGAGACUCAUAUAAUCCAGUUCAAAGCAGAUUGUUGUUGUUUAUUCCUUCAGUUGCUUCCGACUCUUCAUGACCUCAUGAACCAGCCCACACGAGAACUCCCUGUCAGCUUUCGCCACCUCCAGCUCCUUCAAGGUCAAGCCAGUCACUUCAAGGAUACCAUCCAUCCACUUUGCCCUUUGUCAGCCCCUCUUCCGUUUCCCUUCCAUUUUUCCCAGCAUCAUUGUUUUCUCCAAGCUUUCCUAUCUUCUCAUUAUGUGGCCAAAGUAUUUCAUCUUUGCCUCUAAUAUCCUUCCCUCCAGUGAACAGUUGAGAAUUAUUUCAUGGAGUAUGGACUGGUUUGAUCUUGCGGUCCACGGCUCUCUCAGAAUUUUCCUCUAACACCACAGUUCAAAAGUGAUAAUGUGGAAUAUUUGCUUUGAUAAUCUGGAUUGUAGGGCAGUGUAUAAGGGGCCUGAGAUAUGACGAUAUGGGGUUCGGUCUACUGGUUUUGUGGGGUGGGGACUAAGGGGUACAGGCAGCUUCCAGUUAAUUGUGGGGGGAAAUGAACCUUUCUUUCCAUUGCCAUAGAAGCGGAAUUGAUGCCAAGCAUAACAGGGAGGAAGGAGAUUAGUUUAUUGGCUUCCCAGAUAACAAUCACCAUCUGAACAUUAGCUUCAUCUGCAGGAACUUCUUCUUCUCAAGGGCAAAUAAUGUACAUGGUGUUUGGCCACCAGUUACUCAAUGGUGCCAUUAAUUCUGAUGAAUGUGCCUUUUAAAAAAGGAGUCAUCUAAACAUGCCAAGCAAUGCAUUUUCUGAACCAAGACAAUAUCAUGGUCUGUGAGUUGAUGGUUGUGUUUCCUUGGUUUAUUAAUUCCAAUAUCUGACUGACAUCCUGAGAAGGAUAAAAAGUCAAAUAGCACAAGGAGUGAAGUCAUUUUCUAUCUGUCCAUACCCAAAGGUUAUCCACUGAGGAGUAGUUUUUUUCCUGGGAAUCUGGGGGUCACCGAUGGCUCAGGCUUGGCUAUUCACAGUCUGUGUCCUCUUUUGCCUCAUCCCAAAAGGAGAUGCAAUAAAAUGUGCAAGAUGUUCUUUUUCACGUGGACAAAAAUGUUUUCCUCCUCGAAGCUCAUGUGAAAUUACCGGCAAGAAGACUGUCUGCACCAUAACGGAGAAGUAUUUAUUCGGUAAAUUAAGGAAAACAAUAAAGGACUGUAGUGAUGGCCCUUGUGGCCGGUCAUGGAAUAUUCUCAUAGUGGCUCGGAAGAUUAAAUGCUGUUCUCGAAACUUUUGCAAUGGAAAACCGUAAUCCCUUUAUGGAGAUGCCGGAGAUUGAGAUUGAAGCAACAGCAGCCACAGAUUGAGACAGAGAAAUAUGAUUUAUUCCUCAUGAGUUUCCAAUUAAAUUAUAGUUGCGCACACCACAUCAUCAAACACCAAUGCAGUCCUUUGAUUGGUCUAUUCCCGGUGUUUCUGGCAACCCAUUUUAAAAGAUUCUUAAAAAAACAAACAAACCAAAAAAACAAACAAACCAACAUGAAUGUUCAAUGAAACAGCAUGACAGUUAUAGCCUUGAACAAAGAUUUGGUUCUCACUCCACUAUGAAUCUUGGAUUGUACUCUGCCCUAUAUCUCAGGGUCUGAACCCUGAUUAUCUUCUUAAUCCAUAUUAUAUGGCAAUGUAGACUCAGGGCUCCUCCAUGCAAUCAUAUAAUCCAGAAUAUCAAGGCAGAUAAUCCACAAUAUCUGAUUUGAACUGGGUUAUCUGAGUCUACACUGCCAUAUAAUCCAGUUCAAUGUGGAUUUUAUAGAGCUGUGUGGGAGGGACCACAUAUAAACCAGUCCAAAGCACAUAAUUUGGGAUCAGCUCCUGGCAUAUAGGGCAGUGUGGAUCCAGCCCAGGAAUGUCUUUGAAAACAUUCCUGACCAUGAGUGCAUCUACACUGUAGAAAUCACACAAGUUUGACACCAGUUUAACUGCUAUGGCUCAAUGUUCUGGAAAUAAAAGAGCUGUAGUUCUGUAAACUCUGUAGACUUCUCUCCAAAAGAGUGCUGAUGCCUUAUCAAACUACACCUCCCAGGAUACGAUAGCAUUGAGCCAUAGAAAUGAAAGUAGUGUCAAAUUACAUUUUUUUUUUACAAUUUAGGUCCACCCAAAAUUGGAUUGUUGUGAAGGCAAGGUGGGGAUGGAAAUCAUGUAUGGUGUCUUGAGUGCAUUGGAGAAACAUUGGAAUAAAGCAACAUCUACUAAAUAAAUAAACCAUGUCUCUUCAUUUAUUUUUGGUAAUGUGUUGUAACCUAUUUUAACUGAGUGAGUUAGACAAAAAGGCUGUUUUCCCAAUAUUUCCAAAGCAAUUGAAAUAUCAGUCAUAGAAUCAUAGAGUUGGAAGAGACCUUACUGGCCAUCCAGUCCAACCCCCUGUCAAGAAACAAGGGUUGGACUGGAUGGCCCACAAGGUCUCUUCCAACUCUAUGAUUCUAUAAUUCUAUGAUCUUGAACCAGUAUGUUGCUUUGUGGUCUGUUCUUAUUGUUACUAUUUGGUUGUUAUACAGAUUUUGUCAGGGGAUGAUGGGGUGCAGAGUGGAUUCCAAAAAUUCAUCAUCCUGGUCUCACCUCCUUCUCCAGACUGUAUUCCCAUGCGGAGAAUCAGCACUGGUCAAGAAAACACUCCAGCAGGCGAAGUCCAACUGUUGAUUAACUUUAUUUACAUAACUAUUUACAGUUUGCAUUUCUCGGCUUCAGAGCAUAGCAUUCAUAGUCCAUCUUCAGUGAGAGCUCAAGCCGAACACCACACUGUUGUGUACUUAGCCCACUGUUGAAGAUGGUCUUUACCACUAUACUUUUUCAAGGAGUGUAUCUUUUGGGUCUAAACACUGGUCUACCAUGUGAUGUUAUAUAUAUUAGUUGCCUAUCUGUUAUUGGUGAUACUUGCAAUGCAGUUUAGUCAAAGAAGGUGAAGUAAAUAUGGUAUAUAAGGAGGAAGGAGGGAUAUAGGAAAUAAACUUAAAAUAAAUUACAUAGGAGGUGAAUGAAAUGAUUCACCUCUUUGAAGGUUCUUCUCUGAGAAAGCACCACAAAAGAUUAGUACUAAUGGGACCUCUUCUACACUGCCAUACAAAAUCCACAUUAUCUGCUUUGAACUGGAUUAUAUAGUGUAGAAUCAUAUAAUCCUGUUGAAAUCAGACAAUGUGGAUUUUCUGAUUUGAUGAUCUGAAUAUUAUGGCAGUGCACAAGGAGCCUGUUUUAGUGAAGCAAGGAACUGGUGGGGAGUGUAUUAUGUUAAAUAUGGGGGGAAAUGAACUUUUCUUCCAUUGCCAUGGUAGCUGAAUUGAGGCCAAACAUAACAGGGAGGAAGCAGAUAAGACUCUUUGCUUCCCACAUAAUAAUUACCAUCUAAACAUUAAGUCCACCUGUGAGAACUCCUUCUUCUAAAAGACAAAUAACGUUAUUAAUGGUACAUGGUGUUCAGCAACCAGAUAUUCAAUGGAGCCGUUAACUCUGGUGAAUGUGCCUUUUAAAAAAGGAGUGCGCCAUAUAAACAUGCCAAGCAAUGAAUUUUCUGAACCAAGACAUUAUCAUGGUCUGUAAGCUGAUGAGCCCAACCUCUCUCCUCCAAGAAAUGAGUCCUUUUUGUUUGAAAGACAUAGAUUGGAUGGCUAUGUCUUUUGUGGCCAAAUUUGGUGUGAUUUGGUUCAGUGGUUUUGUUGUUUACUCGGUCCUACAAAUGUACAUUACAUUUUUAUAUAUAUAUACCGUGUUUUCCCGAAAAUAAGACAGUGUCUUAUAUUAAUUUCUGCUCCCAAAGAUGCGCUAGGUCUUACUUUCAGAGGGUGUCUUAUUUUUCCAUGAAGAAGAAUUCACAUUUAUUGUUGAACAAAAAAAAUGAACUUUUAUUAUAUACUGUACAGUAGUUCUAAUCACAAACCAGCAUAACCAGACAAACUGUGAAUCCUAUCAAGAAUUUCUUGUUACUACCAUUAUUUCCAUGUACAACAGUCUAUGGUAUGUACAUUUACCAAUCCUGCAUGCUCUGGUGUUCUGUUUGGCGGGCAUGCUUCCAAACAAAAACUUUGCUAGGUCUUACUUUUGGGGGAGGCCUUAUAUUUAGCAAUC
Molecule: long non-coding RNA, 4288 nt
Organism: Anolis carolinensis (green anole)
Lineage: Eukaryota; Metazoa; Chordata; Lepidosauria; Squamata; Anolidae
Exons: 3
Source: RefSeq, a predicted model, not a curated record